AUAAAGUGGUAGACGAACACCGCGAAUUUAUGGAUGAUGUUAAGAGAAGCUCUGCCUACAGCUUAUUCGUGGGAACAAGAUGGACUUGACCGUCAACUGUCGAACGUAUUGAACUCACUGAAGGAAUCUCAAGAGUAUUACUUCUUUGGAGUAAGAAAGAACUCGACCGAUGACGGUAAAAUUUUCUUCGAAAUCACACAGACGGCAGUACAACUCUUGUCCAUGUAGUGAUGAUUGUCUCACUUACAUUACUUGUAUUAUUAUUAUUUUUAUUAACCAUUCCUAGUUGAUUUAGUACCAUAAGCUGUUGAAGCCCAGUCUUGUACAGAAGUAAACGUUAAUAGUUUA
Molecule: long non-coding RNA, 348 nt
Organism: Homarus americanus (American lobster)
Lineage: Eukaryota; Metazoa; Arthropoda; Malacostraca; Decapoda; Nephropidae
Exons: 2
Source: RefSeq, a predicted model, not a curated record